RNAcentral lists this unclassified non-coding RNA (222 nucleotides) under Hevea brasiliensis (rubber tree). The record is from RNAcentral. Lineage: Eukaryota; Viridiplantae; Streptophyta; Magnoliopsida; Malpighiales; Euphorbiaceae.
UGUUCAUAGAAAAACUAUACACCAUAGUACGAAAAGAAAAUCCUACCACGUAAUGAAACUAAUAAUUAAAAGAAAUGAAGGCAAAAUUGAAGCAUAUGAUUCAUUCCAAGAUGUCUCCAACGGUUGCUUCGAAUCUCCUCUUUUCAAGAUGCCUCAGAAUCAACUAAAUACAUCCAAGAUCACAUCUAAAGCUAUGUUCUGGCGCCUAGGCGCAUGUAUAAA